CAACCCUCAAGCCUGGCUUGGUGUUGGGCGCAGCCUGCGCGGCUGGCCCUAAAGACAGUGGCGGCGCCGCCUGGCCCCAAGCGUAGUACAGCUCUCGCUCUCGGGCCCGGCGGUCGCCUGCCAGAACCCCCCAACUCUGU
This 140-nucleotide unclassified non-coding RNA is filed under the name uncultured Oidiodendron. RNAcentral describes it as "sequence contains ITS2". Lineage: Eukaryota; Fungi; Ascomycota; Leotiomycetes; Myxotrichaceae. The record is from RNAcentral.